RNAcentral lists this ribosomal RNA (817 nucleotides) under Cassava frogskin disease phytoplasma. Its description in RNAcentral is "bacterial SSU rRNA". It matches the Rfam family "Bacterial small subunit ribosomal RNA", at positions 460 to 1286 of the family's 1533-position model. The record is from RNAcentral. Lineage: Bacteria; Bacillati; Mycoplasmatota; Mollicutes; Acholeplasmatales; Acholeplasmataceae.
AAAACUCCCUUGACGGUACUUAAUGAAUAAGCCCCGGCUAAUUAUGUGCCAGCAGCCGCGGUAAUACAUAAGGGGCGAGCGUUAUCCGGAAUUAUUGGGCGUAAAGGGUGCGUAGGCGGUUUAAUAAGUCUAUAGUUUAAUUUCAGUGCUUAACGCUGUUGUGCUAUAGAAACUGUUUUACUAGAGUGAGUUAGAGGCAAGCGGAAUUCCAUGUGUAGCGGUAAAAUGCGUAAAUAUAUGGAGGAACACCAGAGGCGUAGGCGGCUUGCUGGGACUUUACUGACGCUGAGGCACGAAAGCGUGGGGAGCAAACAGGAUUAGAUACCCUGGUAGUCCACACCGUAAACGAUGAGUACUAAGUGUCGGGUAAAACCGGUACUGAAGUUAACACAUUAAGUACUCCGCCUGAGUAGUACGUACGCAAGUAUGAAACUUAAAGGAAUUGACGGGACUCCGCACAAGCGGUGGAUCAUGUUGUUUAAUUCGAAGAUACACGAAAAACCUUACCAGGUCUUGACAUUUUCUUGCGAAGUUAUAGAAAUAUAAUGGAGGUUAUCAGGAAAACAGGUGGUGCAUGGUUGUCGUCAGCUCGUGUCGUGAGAUGUUAGGUUAAGUCCUAAAACGAGCGCAACCCUUGUCGUUAAUUGCCAGCAUGUAAUGAUGGGGACUUUAACGAGACUGCCAAUGAAAAAUUGGAGGAAGGUGGGGAUUACGUCAAAUCAUCAUGCCCCUUAUGAUCUGGGCUACAAACGUGAUACAAUGGUUGAUACAAAGAGUAGCUGAAACGCGAGUUCUUAGCCAAUCUCACAAAAUCAAU